RNAcentral lists this long non-coding RNA (409 nucleotides) under Ananas comosus (pineapple). RNAcentral describes it as "long non-coding RNA (ACOM_LNC014690)". The record is from RNAcentral. Lineage: Eukaryota; Viridiplantae; Streptophyta; Magnoliopsida; Poales; Bromeliaceae.
UAGAAGCGGUGAACCAAGUAUCGCUUUUAGGUGAAGGCGGUAAAUGAUUCACUGCUUUCAUAAAAUUUUAUAAAACCUAUAAAGACGGUGAAUGGCUCACCGCCUUCGUGCUUUUUCCUCCCCUGUGUAAUACUCACCGUGUAUAAAUACGGUGAAUGAUUCACCGCAUAUAAAUACAGUGAAUGGUUUACCGUUUUUAACAUAACCCACCACCCAGCUGUAAGUAUUUUGCAAAUUCCCACAUCAUACAAAAUAGUAAUAUUUUCAAGAUUUCAAUUACAAGAAUAAAUAUAUAAAAUCAUCUAUACUAACUUCAACCAUACUUUACCAUACUUUAAGCAUAUAAAAUGAGUUAUACUAAUAUCAACACACUUCAAUAUGAAUAAAUUUAGAUAAUACUAUUAAAAAC